This 582-nucleotide ribosomal RNA is filed under the name uncultured organism. RNAcentral's name for it is "bacterial SSU rRNA". It matches the Rfam family "Bacterial small subunit ribosomal RNA", at positions 773 to 1358 of the family's 1533-position model. The record is from RNAcentral.
CAGGAUUAGAUACCCUGGUAGUCCACGCCGUAAACGUUGAUUACUCGUUGUUGGCAAUACACCGUCAGCGACUGAGCAAAAGCAUUAAGUAAUCCACCUGGGGAGUACGUCAGCAAUGAUGAAACUCAAAGGAAUUGACGGGGGCCCGCACAAGCGGAGGAACAUGUGGUUUAAUUCGAUGAUACGCGAGGAACCUUACCUGGGCUUAAAUGUUUAGUGAUCGACCGGGAGACCGGUUUUUCCUUCGGGACACUUUACAAGGUGCUGCAUGGUUGUCGUCAGCUCGUGCCGUGAGGUGUCGGGUUAAGUCCCAUAACGAGCGCAACCCCUAUCGCCAGUUGCCAGCACAUAAUGGUGGGAACUCUGGUGAAACUGCCGGUGCAAACCGUGAGGAAGGUGGGGAUGACGUCAAAUCAGCACGGCCCUUAUGUCCAGGGCUACACACGUGUUACAAUGGUCGGUACAACAGGAUGCCAAUCCGCAAGGAUGAGCUAAUCCCAAAAGCCGAUCUUAGUUCGGAUCGGAGUCUGCAAUUCGACUCCGUGAAGUUGGAUUCGCUAGUAAUCGCAGAUCAGCCAUGCU